This 442-nucleotide ribosomal RNA is filed under the name uncultured bacterium. RNAcentral describes it as "partial 16S ribosomal RNA". It matches the Rfam family "Bacterial small subunit ribosomal RNA", at positions 338 to 795 of the family's 1533-position model. The record is from RNAcentral.
CCUACGGGCGGCUGCAGUGGGGAAUAUUGGGCAAUGGGCGCAAGCCUGACCCAGCGACGCCGCGUGAGGGAAGACGGUCUUCGGAUUGUAAACCUCUUUCAGCAGGGAAGACAAAAGGACGGUACCUGCAGAAGAAGCCACGGCUGACUACGGGCCAUCAGCCACGGUAAUACGUAGGUGGCAAGCGUUAUCCGGAAUUCCUGGGUGUAAAGGGUGUGUAGGCGGGGCUGCAAGUCAGAUGUGAAAAUUAUGGGCUCAAACCAUAACCUGCGUUUGAAACUGUAGCUCUUGAGAGUGGGAGAGGUAAACGGAAUUCGCGGUGUAGCGGUGAAAUGCGUAGAUAGCGGGAGGAACACCAGUGGCGAAGGCGGUUUACUGGACCAAAACUGACGCUGAGACACGAAAGCGUGGGGAGCAAACAGGAUUAGAUACCCGGGUAGUC